Long non-coding RNA from Trachemys scripta elegans, 1349 nucleotides. RefSeq lists it as uncharacterized. Lineage: Eukaryota; Metazoa; Chordata; Testudines; Emydidae. The record is from RefSeq and is a predicted model, not a curated record. The transcript is spliced from 2 exons.
CCUCUUCCUUCAUCAUGGACUACGUAGCACAGAUUCACUUAGCCUCCAUGCUUACAUCCAUACUCUUUAUAUACAAUUUCUUUCAUUUUUAAGAUCAAAAUAACACUAAUAAUGACUUGCUCUUACAUUGUGCUUCUCAUCAGAAGAUUUCAAAGUGCUUUACAAAGGAGUCCUUACUGGAUCCGCAGAGAUGGGGCUCCAAGUCUCUGUUGCCUCCGUUUCAUCAUUGUACUUUCUGAUACACUGUUUCUUCUCAGAAGAGGAGGUUUAAAGCCAGAAAGGAGAACCCGCUGUUAUCACUCCAGUGCAGAGUACAGAACAAUCAAUGUAACACAGAGCUCUUCAAAUAUCCCCAGUGUCACCACAGACUUCGUGAAUUCAGUAACAGUCCAGAUUAAUCAGCCAGCUAAUGUCAAAAUCUAAUUAUUUUUAAAGAAGUCUUCCACAAGUCUAUUUCUAGCAUCCAUAAACAGGAAAUGAAGACCAACAGUAUGCAGCAAUAGUACUGAGAAGCCAAAGAUACAAACUAAACAAUCUGAUCCGUCAUACAGACAGCAAUGUACUACUGACAUCACUCACACUUAAGAGCACAGCAAAUCAGUGGCAAACUUUUUCUGGGCUUUAGACAGCAGUGACACGUUCACUCUCAGUGAAUCACAAGAAAAAUGCAGAACCACAGAGAGAGAUGGCAUACAAGAAAAAACUCUGGCAGAAAUCUCAGAUACCAGCUCGAAAAUUCAUCCUGUGAUAGGAAUACAGUCAUUGCUCCCACCAAGAGCCCCUAGGAAAGUCAUGAGCAGUGUAAGAACAGCUGUUCUUUACUGGGGAGGAAACAUGCGAACUAUCCCAUUUUUGGAAAUCAAACCAUGUAAGAAUCUACAGAACUUCCAUCUUAAAACAUUCAUAAUAGGUUAAUUUGUUAAACUAUCAAUUUUACUGCACAAGUUAAACAUAUCAGGAACAAAUACAUAAUGAGGUUAUGUUCUAGCUUAGCUAUUUCUUCUUCCCUUCUUUAUGAACUUCAAAACUACAAGGACAAAUUGGCAAUAGAACAAACUGUCAAAGGAUAUUGAGGACACUAGAAAAAUCCAAGGCUACACUAUGAUAAUCAUCUUUUGUAGCACUCAAGAGGUUCCCUUGCAUCCCUUAAAUCUCUGAGUCUUGCAUUUUAGUUUUUGAAUGGUAAUUUCUAUCAUUAGCUCAAAUCAAACUCAUGCUGUUUGCAUGGUUGUCACAAACUACUGGCUGUCUUUCCUGAAAUCCAUCAUCUGCCGAAAGUUAGCUUUCCAAACUAACAUUCCACAUGAACAUCUUGUCCAGAUUUUAAUUAAAACACUGUGUCUAAGAGA